RNAcentral lists this transfer RNA (64 nucleotides) under Sphingomonas sp. SORGH_AS_0870. Its description in RNAcentral is "tRNA-Ser". Lineage: Bacteria; Pseudomonadati; Pseudomonadota; Alphaproteobacteria; Sphingomonadales; Sphingomonadaceae. The record is from RNAcentral.
UAGGGCGUGGUCCAAACUCUUUUGGUACCGUCAUACGCAGGUUCGAAUCCUGCCGCCCCAGCCA